UUUUAGUGGCGGACGGGUGAGUAACGCGUGGGUAACCUGCCUCACACUGGGGGAUAACACUUAGAAAUAGGUGCUAAUACCGCAUAAGCGCACGGGACUGCAUGGUCUUGUGUGAAAACCUCCGGUGGUGUGAGAUGGACCCGCGUCUGAUUAGCUGGUUGGCGGGGUAACGGCCCACCAAGGCGACGAUCAGUAGCCGGCCUGAGAGGGUGGACGGCCACAUUGGGACUGAGACACGGCCCAAACUCCUACGGAAGGCAGCAG
This 264-nucleotide ribosomal RNA is filed under the name uncultured bacterium. RNAcentral's name for it is "partial 16S ribosomal RNA". It matches the Rfam family "Bacterial small subunit ribosomal RNA", at positions 90 to 354 of the family's 1533-position model. The record is from RNAcentral.